AUUGAACGCUGGCGGCAGGCCUAACACAUGCAAGUCGAGCGGAUGAAGGGAGCUUACUCCUGGAUUCAGCGGCGGACGGGUGAGUAAUGCCUAGGAAUCUGCCUGGUAGUGGGGGAUAACGUCCGGAAACGGGCGCUAAUACCGCAUACGUCCUGAGGGAGAAAGUGGGGGAUCUUCGGACCUCACGCUAUCAGAUGAGCCUAGGUCGGAUUAGCUAGUUGGUGGGGUAAAGGCCUACCAAGGCGACGAUCCGUAACUGGUCUGAGAGGAUGAUCAGGCACACUGGAACUGAGACACGGUCCAGACUCCUACGGGAGGCAGCAGUGGGGAAUAUUGGACAAUGGGCGAAAGCCUGAUCCAGCCAUGCCGCGUGUGUGAAGAAGGUCUUCGGAUUGUAAAGCACUUUAAGUUGGGAGGAAGGGCAGUAAGUUAAUACCUUGCUGUUUUGACGUUACCAACAGAAUAAGCACCGGCUAACUUCGUG
Molecule: ribosomal RNA, 484 nt
Filed under: uncultured bacterium
Lineage: Bacteria
Description: partial 16S ribosomal RNA
Rfam family: Bacterial small subunit ribosomal RNA
Source: RNAcentral